UACGGAAGGCAGCAGUGGGGAAUAUUGCACAAUGGGCGCAAGCCUGAUGCAGCCAUGCCGCGUGUAUGAAAAAGGCCUUCGGGUUGUAAAGUACUUUUCAGUCGUGAGGAAGGUGUUAAGGUUAAUAACCUUAGCAAUUGACGUUAGCGACAGAAGAAGCACCGGCUAACUCCGUGCCAGCAGCCGCGGUAAUACGGAGGGUGCGAGCGUUAAUCGGAAUUACUGGGCGUAAAGGGCACGCAGGCGGUUAAUUAAGUUGGAUGUGAAAUCCCCGGGCUUAACCUGGGAAUGGCAUUCAAGACUGGUUAGCUAGAGUCUUGUAGAGGGGGUAGAAUUCCAUGUGUAGCGGUGAAAUGCGUAGAGAUGUGGAGGAAUACCGGUGGCGAAGGCGGCCCCUGGACAAAGGGCUGACGCGUCAUGUGCGAAAGCGUGGGGAGCAAACGAGGGAUUAGAUACC
This 457-nucleotide ribosomal RNA is filed under the name uncultured bacterium. RNAcentral's name for it is "bacterial SSU rRNA". It matches the Rfam family "Bacterial small subunit ribosomal RNA", at positions 340 to 786 of the family's 1533-position model. The record is from RNAcentral.